AUGGAUCUCUCAAUGAAGAUGAUGAAUCCGACGGCGGAGAAACUGUCAGUAUCGUUUGCUAUACAGAAUCGCGGUCGGUUAAAACUUUGGGAGGCGCGUGGUGGACGAUGGCGGGAUGCGGCAUCAGAGGGCUCGGUCCCGUACGUCACAGAGGAGCAGUGGGUUGUGAGUUGGUCAUUCGCGGUGCUGUUGUUCAGUCCGUCGGAGUAG
This is a non-coding RNA of Vicia faba (fava bean), 210 nucleotides long. NCBI's taxonomy places the organism in Eukaryota, Viridiplantae, Streptophyta, Magnoliopsida, Fabales, Fabaceae. The record is from the annotation of a GenBank genome assembly.